CAAUCUGGCAGGGGAAGUGGGGCUGCCAUUUUGUCACAGUCAGGCGGGAGUGGAAGGCCAGGUUCACCACUGGCCUCCACUGACAUUCAAGUGGUGUUCCUAACUAUGGAUGGGCAUUUCCACUUCUCUUCCCUCAAAAAGGGCCACACACAGCUGAUACCAUGGGCCCUAGGAGAAGGACACCUGGCGAGGACAUCUAAUCCUGUCUGGCAGGAACAUUUGAGACUCAGGACUCCUGAAAGUUUACUUACCUCAUCCCUCCGCUUUCAGCCAACUCUUGCUGACAGGCUCUUCCAGAGAAAGUUUGCCCUGUGACCUGAGCCAGAACACACCCCAACCCUCUCUGGAGAGAAGCAGAGUCAAGGAAAGAAGAGAUUUCAUAGUGUGGACAGUGUUGGUUCUUCAGCGCCGAGGCCUCUCGAGU
RNAcentral lists this long non-coding RNA (424 nucleotides) under Equus asinus (donkey). Its description in RNAcentral is "lncRNA (ENSEASG00005038322.1)". The record is from RNAcentral. Lineage: Eukaryota; Metazoa; Chordata; Mammalia; Perissodactyla; Equidae.